This 477-nucleotide ribosomal RNA is filed under the name uncultured bacterium. Its description in RNAcentral is "partial 16S ribosomal RNA". It matches the Rfam family "Bacterial small subunit ribosomal RNA", at positions 28 to 507 of the family's 1533-position model. The record is from RNAcentral.
GAUGAACGCUGGCGGCGUGCCUAACACAUGCAAGUCGAACGAAGCACCUUACCUGAUUCUUCGGAUGAAAGUUUGGUGACUGAGUGGCGGACGGGUGAGUAACGCGUGGGUAACCUGCCCUGUACAGGGGGAUAACAGCUGGAAACGGCUGCUAAUACCGCAUAAGCGCACGAGGAGACAUCUCCUUGUGUGAAAAACUCCGGUGGUACAGGAUGGGCCCGCGUCUGAUUAGCUGGUUGGCAGGGCAACGGCCUACCAAGGCAACGAUCAGUAGCCGGUCUGAGAGGAUGAACGGCCACAUUGGAACUGAGACACGGUCCAAACUCCUACGGGAGGCAGCAGUGGGGAAUAUUGCACAAUGGGGGAAACCCUGAUGCAGCAACGCCGCGUGAGUGAAGAAGUAUUUCGGUAUGUAAAGCUCUAUCAGCAGGGAAGAUAAUGACGGUACCUGACUAAGAAGCUCCGGCUAAAUACGUG